Molecule: ribosomal RNA, 253 nt
Filed under: uncultured bacterium
Lineage: Bacteria
Description: partial 16S ribosomal RNA
Rfam family: Bacterial small subunit ribosomal RNA
Source: RNAcentral
UACAGAGGUCCCAAGCGUUGUUCGGAUUCACUGGGCGUAAAGGGUGCGUAGGUGGUGAGGUAAGUCGGAUGUGAAAGCUCGGAGCUCAACUCCGAAAUGGCAUUGGAAACUACCUUGCUCGAGGGUUGGAGGGGGGACUGGAAUACUUGGUGUAGCAGUGAAAUGCGUAGAUAUACGGAGGAACACCAGCGGCGAAGGCGGGUAGCUGGGCCAACACUGACGCUGAUGUGCGAAAGCUAGGGUAGCAAACGGG